RNAcentral lists this non-coding RNA (96 nucleotides) under uncultured Agathobaculum sp. Its description in RNAcentral is "Glycine riboswitch". It matches the Rfam family "Glycine riboswitch aptamer", at positions 8 to 87 of the family's 94-position model. From Rfam's summary of the family: This family represents the bacterial glycine riboswitch. Glycine riboswitches usually consist of two metabolite-binding aptamers domains with similar structures in tandem. The aptamers cooperatively bind glycine to regulate the expression of downstream genes. Lineage: Bacteria; Bacillati; Bacillota; Clostridia; Eubacteriales; Butyricicoccaceae. The record is from RNAcentral.
GUGACUCUGGAGAACGCUCCGAAGGGAGCUGCCGAAGGUGCAAAGCGUGCGGCGGGGAACCGCAUGCCAAUCUCUCAGGCAAAAGGACAGAGUGCG